GAAUUUUGGACAAUGGGCGAAAGCCUGAUCCAGCAAUGCCGCGUGCAGGAAGAAGGCCUUCGGGUUGUAAACUGCUUUUGUACGGAAAGAAAAGCUUUGGGUUAAUACCACGGAGUCAUGACGGUACCGCCAGAAUAAGAACCGGCCACCUAAGUGCCCGCAGCCGCGGUAAUACGUGGGGUGCAAGCGUUAAUCGGAAUUACUGGGCGUAAAGCGUGAGCAGGCGGUUUUGUAAGACAGAGGUGAAAUCCCCGGGCUCAACCUGGGAACUGCCUUUGGGACUGCAAGGCUAGAGUACGGCAGAGGGGGGUGGAAUUCCGCGUGUAGCAGUGAAAUGCGUAGAUAUGCGGAGGAACACCGAUGGCGAAGGUAACCCCCUGGGCCUGUACUGACGCUCAUGCACGAAAGCGUGGGGAGCAAACA
This 423-nucleotide ribosomal RNA is filed under the name uncultured bacterium. RNAcentral's name for it is "partial 16S ribosomal RNA". It matches the Rfam family "Bacterial small subunit ribosomal RNA", at positions 359 to 774 of the family's 1533-position model. The record is from RNAcentral.